CAGUAGCGGCGAGCGAACGGGGAGGAGCCCAGAGCCUGAAUCAGUGUGUGUGUUAGUGGAAGCGUCUGGAAAGGCGCGCGAUACAGGGUGACAGCCCCGUACACAAAAAUGCACAUGCUGUGAGCUCGAUGAGUAGGGCGGGACACGUGGUAUCCUGUCUGAAUAUGGGGGGACCAUCCUCCAAGGCUAAAUACUCCUGACUGACCGAUAGUGAACCAGUACCGUGAGGGAAAGGCGAAAAGAACCCCGGCGAGGGGAGUGAAAAAGAACCUGAAACCGUGUACGUACAAGCAGUGGGAGCACGCUUAGGCGUGUGACUGCGUACCUUUUGUAUAAUGGGUCAGCGACUUAUAUUCUGUAGCAAGGUUAACCGAAUAGGGGAGCCGAAGGGAAACCGAGUCUUAACUGGGCGUUAAGUUGCAGGGUAUAGACCCGAAACCCGGUGAUCUAGCCAUGGGCAGGUUGAAGGUUGGGUAACACUAACUGGAGGACCGAACCGACUAAUGUUGAAAAAUUAGCGGAUGACUUGUGGCUGGGGGUGAAAGGCCAAUCAAACCGGGAGAUAGCUGGUUCUCCCCGAAAGCUAUUUAGGUAGCGCCUCGUGAAUUCAUCUCCGGGGGUAGAGCACUGUUUCGGCAAGGGGGUCAUCCCGACUUACCAACCCGAUGCAAACUGCGAAUACCGGAGAAUGUUAUCACGGGAGACACACGGCGGGUGCUAACGUCCGUCGUGAAGAGGGAAACAACCCAGACCGCCAGCUAAGGUCCCAAAGUCAUGGUUAAGUGGGAAACGAUGUGGGAAGGCCCAGACAGCCAGGAUGUUGGCUUAGAAGCAGCCAUCAUUUAAAGAAAGCGUAAUAGCUCACUGGUCGAGUCGGCCUGCGCGGAAGAUGUAACGGGGCUAAACCAU
RNAcentral lists this ribosomal RNA (909 nucleotides) under Escherichia coli. Its description in RNAcentral is "partial 23S ribosomal RNA". It matches the Rfam family "Bacterial large subunit ribosomal RNA", at positions 241 to 1190 of the family's 2925-position model. The record is from RNAcentral. Lineage: Bacteria; Pseudomonadati; Pseudomonadota; Gammaproteobacteria; Enterobacterales; Enterobacteriaceae.